This 404-nucleotide ribosomal RNA is filed under the name uncultured Bacillota bacterium. Its description in RNAcentral is "bacterial SSU rRNA". It matches the Rfam family "Bacterial small subunit ribosomal RNA", at positions 356 to 774 of the family's 1533-position model. Lineage: Bacteria; Bacillati; Bacillota. The record is from RNAcentral.
GGGGAAUAUUGGGCAAUGGGCGCAAGCCUGACCCAGCAACGCCGCGUGAGGGAAGAAGGUUUUCGGAUUGUAAACCUCUGUCGCAGAUGACGAAGGAAGUGACGGUAAUCUGUGAGGAAGCCCCGGCUAACUACGUGCCAGCAGCCGCGGUAAUACGUAGGGGGCGAGCGUUGUCCGGAAUUACUGGGCGUAAAGGGAGCGUAGGCGGUCGAUUAAGUUGGAUGUGAAAUACCCGGGCUUAACUUGGGGGGUGCAUCCAAUACUGGUUGACUAGAGUACAGGAGAGGAAAGCGGAAUUCCUAGUGUAGCGGUGAAAUGCAUAGAUAUUAGGAGGAACACCAGUGGCGAAGGCGGCCAACUGGGCUUUUACUGACGCUGAGGCUCGAAAGCGUGGGGAGCAAACA